UCUUGUACAAGAAUUCUGGAGCCACUUUAUUCAUUCAGCCAAAAUAUAAAAUUAGCCCAGUUUUUCAGGGGUAAGAAAAUGGAAAAAACAAAUUGUGGUAGAGUCACAUAACAGCAGAUUGCCCAGCACUCUAAAGAAACAGACUUUAGAUACGCAAAACAGCAUGGGUGGACCUCAGAAACAUUGUGCCAAGUGAAAGAAGCCUUACACAAAAGAGUUUACGACUUGUACACUCCACAAGAUGAAAAUUCUGAAACAAAGGAAAAAGAAACACGUUUUGAACCCAGUUAACACAUGCUGAGGUACUUAGGAGGAAGUGUACUGAAAUCUGCAAUGUAUUUUGAAACGCAUCUAAAAAAUAUAGAUCCAUGGGUGAAGAGAUGGGUGGAUGUGGAGGACAGACAUGCUAACAGGUAAGGAAACGUUAAAGGCAAAACCUAAGCAGGCAAAUGGGUGUUCUCUGCAAAUUCUUUCAACUCCGCUAGAUGUUUGAAAUUUUCCACAAUGAAACUUUGAGAGAAGACAAGUCAAAAUUCUGAUAUAUUUGGAUAUUUUAAAAUACACAUCUAAAUAACCCAUAUGUCAGGGAAGAACUAAUGGGAUCUUUAAAAUAUUUAGAACCGAACGACAAUAAAAUGCUGCGUGUCAAAACGUGAGAUUUCAUGACAAUAGUACUUAAAGUGAAACGUACUGCUUAACUGUUGAUAUAAAAGAUGCUAAAAAAUAAAUGAGCUGCAAUUUUAAGUGAGAAAAAGAACUAUAAUAAAACCAAGAAAAAUGAACAUUGUGAGAGAUAAAAGCAGAAUUUAAUAAGACAGAUAAAAAGCCAGAAUUUGGUUUUUGAAGAGACACAAAAUAAAUCUCUGGCAAGUCUGAUAACAAGAAGAUUCAAACCAAUAACGUGGAGAAUUUAAAAGGACGCAUGAGUACAGAUCCAACAAGAAGAAAAUACUACAACUUUAAGCUGAUAAAUUUGGAAACAGAUCGAAUGAAUAAACGUCUAAAUAAAUACAGCUUAUAAAUGAACGAAACUGAUUUGAGAAAAAUAGUAAGCCUGAGUUAAUUACUGAACUGCUGAAAUUCCAUAAGUUCUUUAAAAUUUUUCCUUCAGGAUAACUAAUACUCCCAGAUGGUUGUACAGGUGAGAUCAUUCCAGCCAUACAUCAUUCCUCCCUUGGAGAAAGAGGGAAAAAUCCCCCCUGUCUCCUUCUAUGAGGCCGUUAUUAUUUUGAAACCAAAGUAAAACAAAGAAGGAAAAACAUGGCAGGACAAUUCCAAGCAUGAACAUACAUGCAAAAAUCCUUCAUCACACAGUAGGAUCCCAAAUUAAGUGAUGUAUUAAAAGGAUAAUAGUAGCCAGGAACAUACCAAAAAAAACCAGGAAGGAGGGCAGUUUGUCAUAACUUAACCUCAUGCCAAGUGUUUGGGUCCAUCAGAGGAGCCGGGGCUCUUAAGAGCUGCCAUCAGAGGCCUCGGGGUGUGGGAUGAAGCCAGGAGAAGCAUCACUAAUGCUGAGAAGGAAGGAUUCUUCCAAGAAACCAGGGAAGACCCCAGAGGGAUGUCUGAGGAAACUCACUGCCGUGUUCAGAGGAAACCACAGCGAAUUAGGACAAGCUGUGCCUGUGAAAAACAUACCCAAACAAACUGUUAGUCUAGAGGGCACUGGGAAGGGGAAAAAAUGGGUACAAUGAAGCCUGGCUGGUCCGCGGCCCACACGGGGUCCCAAAGGGCUAGUGCCAGGGAAGUGCUGGGGGACCAAGGUCCCCACCGUGUGCCAGGCAGACAGGAAGGCGGCGGGCAAUCAGAGCUGUGCAGGUGGGUGUGCAGCAGCACGUGGCCCAGGCCCAGGGGUCGGACGUCCCCACAGCUCAGGAGCUGCUUGGGAGCAGGCAGAGGCACGGCCGAGACCCUGCAUGGUCCUGGCUUCCUGUGGUUUACUGAUCUUGUCUCCUCUAACACGAGGUGGGACUGACGCUCUAACUUCAUUAAAUGGGUGGACUUUAUUAAUAACACAGGCGCGGGGCGUGAUAAGGAAGCUUCUGAAGGCAAUCUGUCCAAAAUAAGAAAACCAAGGUUCACCUGGAAGCACCCCAAGGAGAAGCACCAACACAGAAGGCGCAGUGGGCUCACAGCCUGGUGCUCGCCAUGGCACCCACUUCAUCGUAGCUGGAGCCUGAGGACCAGGACACUGGCAAGGGGGGCUCCCCUCCCACUGCUGAAGGGCCAGUUCCCUGCAGCAGGAUGGGCAGGUCACCUGAGGCUGGGAAGGAGACUUUGUGAGCAGGCCACCAGGUCCUAGGGGCGACUCAACCAUCCGUGAGAGAGAGAUCAUCCUAGAUACCCGCUCUAGGGAGGCUGUUGGGUUUGUCAGAAAGACACAACCGGCAGGAGUUCAUUGGUGUCCCUGGAAGGAGAGACGGACGGAGAAGCGGGGGCGGGAGGGACACCCCCACCCGGAGGGCUGCCUGGCUUGCAUGGCUGCCCGCCUGUCCUCCUGGCUCCCAACCCCAAGGCAUCACGUGGCAGAGUGGGCAGUGCAGAGGUGGACGAGACCAGCUUUGAGCUUUGGCCCCUCUGGCCCUUCCCAGGGAGCUUUGGCUCAGGUGCUUAACUCCCCUGGGUGGGCUCAGGUAUGCUCUGCCCCCCCACCCAACCACUGGAGCAGAGUGUGGGGUCCCAGGGAUGGGGUCGAGGCUUGUUGGUAUGUAGGUACUUCCUUUAACCCCUCACAUGCUCUGGGUGGCGUGGCUGAGUCUCCUCAGGGCAAGGGGCCUCGGGGAGCCCAGGGCCGCUGAGAGAGCCAGGAGCUAGCCAGGUUGUAGAGGCCCUGGGAGGCGUGCAGAUAUUUGUGUGCCCUCCCAACCAUGCCCCUCAGGCGUCUGGUCCUCCUGGGAGCACCAGGCUCCUCUUCCUGGCUCCUCACUCCACACACCUGGUCCCCACCCACCAGUGAGGACCUGUGCCAAGUGUCACAUCUCCGUGCUAACUCUGCCCAGCAUGCGUCCUUAUCUGACCCUUUUCUGGUUUGUCCAGUGAUUGUCCGGAGACCCCCGAGACCCUGCCCUCCCUGCACCCUUUCCAGAUGACCAGGCUGCCAGUACCUGCCUGGCGCUCGCGCACCAUCCGUUAAUGACAAGCUCCGCCUAUGUGCUCCAUCGGGGACCGACGCCACUCUCCUCAGAAACUGCGGGGAGCCGAGGACAUGCAGGAGGCCGAGGAAGGGAACUAGCCUGACAGCACGGUUCCAAAGGCAGGGUUCCUCACCGAGGAACAAAGCCUACCCGCUGGCACAGUUCCGAGGGCAGGUUUAGAAAUAGGGGAAAGGGCUUACCUGGCAGCACAGUUCCGAGGGCAAGUUCUAAAAAUAAUGAGGCUCACCUGCUAACCCGACAACAACAUCAACAAUAACAAGAUGAAGGCUUUGCACAACAGUACAAGAAUAAAACCACUUCUGGGAAAAAUCAGUCUUUCUUGUUAUUUACUUAUUAUUCAAUCUUUCCUGUUAUUUGUUUGUUAUUUUUUGUUAUUCUCCUAUAUUGUUUUGUGACUCAAUAAAAUUGGAACAACAAAAAAUUGGAACAGUAAUAAAAUAAUAAGAGCUUCACUUUGGUUGAAUUCCCCCUAUUCAGAUCCAAUGUAGGGAAAAACAAAGUAUUCGUUAGUUUGUUACAAGUAAGAAUGGGUUGUAGAGUUAGGCAAUUGUGCUAUGUACCAUAGCUUACGAAUAGGUUAGACAUACAUGGAAAAACAUAAUAAUCUUGCUUUUAAUGAAUUUUGUAAUAAGCUUUUAAGUUUUAUGAAACUAAGUUGCUUUGAUAUAAAAAAAUAUUUUCUCAUACUGUCCCCUGACCAUAACGCUUUGAAGUUAGCACCCCAAGCUUUAAUCCAAAACAUGAGUUUUUGUAAAUGUCAAAUUCUUAUGCUUGUGACCUUUCUAGUUGUUAAAGAUUAGCUUAAAACAAUAACAGGUGGUGCUUGCUAAAAGUAACCACAAAACGUUUUUUACCGAAUCGCCUUAUUUUCAUAUAACGUUUUUUCCACAUGAUGUUUUGUACCCAUUGUAGUGUUACAUGAUGUAUUGUAUCCGUUGGUUUUCAUUAAAAUCCUUAGAAUACAAUGUAUAUCUACUGUACCAUGUAAUCUAAAAGUUUAACCUUUAAGAAUAUGACCUAAGCACUGUAAUGUAAGUUACAAUUAAGCUAUCCAUAUAAACUGCUACCUAUGCUAAUGAAAUUUGAGCAGUCCAGCGCCCUGAGAGAAGGGACAAAGAGGCGGUCUCCGUGUGCAUCCCCGACACUGUCCAUCCCCGCAGGGACACCCUGGCUGCUGGAGCUGGACUCCGGCAGGAAACAUUCCCGCAGGGGCUCCGGGAAGGCCGUGGUGGCUCUGCCGCCCUGUCCUGGUGUCAGAGUGAGGGCAGGGGUGUAAGAGCCCUCACACUCCCUGGGCAGAGAGUCUCCAGGCUGCAGGUUUGCACCGCUCGAGUCCCCUGGGUCUUCGAGGAUCUGCUCCUAGACAACUUCAGAGGAGACAUCCCUGUGUCCCUGGGAUCCUGCAAAGGGGCCCAUGGAGAGAGACCCUCCCCAGAGACCCUCUCCCUAGAGAAAACCAGCCUCAGUACAGGUGGGGGGCCGUCUGCUCUGCCAGGGCUGCCUGUGACCACAGCGGGAGUUUGCAGCUGACAGUGUCCUCGAAUCCCCAGUUCUAGGCCCGAUGACCCAGGCCCUUGGCAGCCCAGGAGCUGGGAACCCCCGGCCCCGGGCACCCAGGGCUCACAGGGUCUAUCUUCUCCAGCGUCCUGCUGACUUUCCCCACCCCCACAGCUCCGCCCCUGCUUCCAAGUGACCAAAAGUGGGAGCUGGAGUCCAGCCGUGCCCAGGGGCAGCAGCUCUGCACCUUUGCGUCUGCAGGGGCAGCUGGGAGCCCACGGGGGUCGGACAGGUCGGGAAGCUGGGUUCAGGGAAGUGAUGGAAUCCAGGUCAGGUCUCGGGAGGGAUGGCGUGACCGAUGUGCAGUCUGCUACUUGCCUGUGCGAGCAUCAGCCUAAACCCAGACAGUAGGACUAAAACCCCUUCCUCCUUCAGAGGGUCCAAAGAUUUGGGCUUCCCGGAGCAUGGACACGGCCACGCCGCACUGCAGCUCCCGGCGCACCGUGUGGGCCGUGGCAAGGUCCAGGUCGGCGUCACAGACGGUGCCCAGGUCAGGCCAUGUCUCACCUCCAGGCGCCCAGCGCAGGGGUGCCCACCCCCCGCCAGCCAGGCCUGUGUGUGUCCUGGGGGCAGACAGACAGGGCAGCCUGAGCACACAGUCCUCCUUCUUCCCUCCCUCGGAAGCUUCAUGGGUAACUCUACUUCCCGUCAGGGACCCCCCGCCACGCACCACAGUCUCUUCCUGCACCCGACCCUCCCACAACUUCCUGCAAGUGCUGGGAACCCCACACGCCAGAGCAGUGGGUCCAUGAGUGUUCACAGAGCUGGUCAGGUGGUGCCCAUCCCUCCUUGAAAGGCCAUGGUCCUGUCCCACCCACCACACCAGCCUGCCCAGAUGCACUGCAUGGCAGCAGGUUCCAUGAUCCCAAGGUGGGAAGGUAGAGAGGAGAAAACCACAGGGCCCCCCAGGACAUGGUGCCUGAGCUGCCAGCUUCCUCCCCAGUCCAGACUCAGAGAGGCCCAAGCUCUUCUGUAGGCUCAGGCAGUUGACUGAAGGCUCAGACUGUCCCACGUGUUUCCAGUAAGUCCCAACUAUGGCUGAAGUUAGCUUAGAGAUGCUCAAAGCUGGCUGCAUGUCUCUCAUGUAGGGAAGCCCUGAAAAAUCCCCUAAAGCUUCUGAGGGACUCCCCCCCACCAGGGGGAGCCCAGUGGAGACCCCAGGAAACAGCCCUGAGGGCCACUGAGCCAUCCACUGUUUGCACCUCCCGCAGAGAAGGGUGGAAAAAAGGGCCCACUGUCUGUCCUGCGCCCGCUGCUCCUGCUGCUCCUUCAGCACCCACGGCGAGGAGCUAGAGGCACAGACCCAGUCACAUGGAGACAGGCUCACCCACGGCACCCCCACACUCCCACACCCAGUAGGUGAGCCAAGAUGUUUCUGGUCCCUCCUGCCCCUUUAUUUAUUGAGGUCCUUAGGGCUGAGUAUCAAUCACUUACAAGCAGGCCCCGGGCAGUGGCUCUGAGGUCGGGCACAGGUCAGCCUCCUUCCACCUCCCAGGGCCACCUCCCAAGCUACAACUGCAACCAUCCAGCUUUUCCUUUGAACACUGUAAAACCAACCCUGUUCCACAAACUCCAUCCGCAUGGACUCCUUGAUGGCGGUGCCUUGAAGUCUGCCAGUGUAACACGCACGAGACCACUUGCAGGAGCCCUUGGAGGAAUGCGCUCCUCUGUCGGAAAAA
RNAcentral lists this long non-coding RNA (6388 nucleotides) under Sus scrofa (pig). RNAcentral's name for it is "lncRNA (ENSSSCG00055006320.1, ENSSSCG00065075684.1)". Lineage: Eukaryota; Metazoa; Chordata; Mammalia; Artiodactyla; Suidae. The record is from RNAcentral.